GACGAACGCUGGCGGCGUGCUCAACACAUGCAAGUCGAACGGAAAGGCCCUGCUUUUGUGGGUUGCUCGAUUGGCGAACGGGUGAGUAACACGUGAGUAACCUGCCCUUGACUUUGGGAUAACUUCAGGAAACUGGGGCUAAUACCGGAUAGGAUCUCCUGCUGCAUGGUGGGGGUUGGAAAGUUUCGGCGGUUGGGGAUGGACUCGCGGCUUAUCAGCUUGUUGGUGGGGUAGUGGCUUACCAAGGCUUUGACGGGUAGCCGGCCUGAGAGGGGUACCGGCCACCAUGGGACUGCGAUACGGACCAGAAUCGUACGGGAGGCAGUAGUGGGGAAUAUUACACAAUGGGCGGAAGCCUGAUGCAGAAACGCCGCGUGCGGGAUGACGGCCUUCGGGUUGUAAACAGAUUUCGCCUGUGACGAAGCGUGAGUGACGGUAAUGGGUAAAGAAGCACCGGCUAACUACGUG
RNAcentral lists this ribosomal RNA (468 nucleotides) under uncultured bacterium. RNAcentral describes it as "partial 16S ribosomal RNA". It matches the Rfam family "Bacterial small subunit ribosomal RNA", at positions 28 to 507 of the family's 1533-position model. The record is from RNAcentral.